Molecule: microRNA precursor, 191 nt
Filed under: Arabidopsis lyrata
Lineage: Eukaryota; Viridiplantae; Streptophyta; Magnoliopsida; Brassicales; Brassicaceae
Description: miR399e stem-loop (aly-MIR399e)
Gene: aly-MIR399e
Rfam family: mir-399 microRNA precursor family (bases 35-148)
About the family: mir-399 was identified in both Arabidopsis thaliana and Oryza sativa computationally and was later experimentally verified. mir-399 is thought to target mRNAs coding for a phosphatase transporter. The mature sequence is excised from the 3' arm of the hairpin.
Source: miRBase by way of RNAcentral
AGUGAGAGAGGAAAACAGAGAUUAUGUUUUGGUAGAAAGCAUUACAGGGCGAAUCCUCUAUUGGCAGGGGAAGUUGAUGAGUGUUGAUCACUCUUAUAUUUUCUCAUCAUUUUCCUCUGCCAAAGGAGAUUUGCCUCGCAAUGCUUCCCUACCGUUAUGGCGUUAUUCAUUUCUCCAAUGUCCAAUCUACU